AACGAACGCUGGCGGCAGGCUUAACACAUGCAUGUCGAGCGAGACCUUCGGGUCUAGCGGCGGACGGGUGAGUAACGCGUGGGAACGUGCCCUUCUCUACGGAAUAGCCCCGGGAAACUGGGAGUAAUACCGUAUACGCCCUUGGGGGGAAAGAUUUAUCGGAGAAGGAUCGGCCCGCGUUGGAUUAGGUAGUUGGUGGGGUAAUGGCCCACCAAGCCGACGAUCCAUAGCUGGUUUGAGAGGAUGAUCAGCCACACUGGGACUGAGACACGGCCCAGACUCCUACGGGAGGCAGCAGUGGGGAAUCUUAGACAAUGGGGGCAACCCUGAUCUAGCCAUGCCGCGUGAGUGAUGAAGGCCUUAGGGUUGUAAAGCUCUUUCAGCUGGGAAGAUAAUGACGGUACCAGCAGAAGAAGCCCCGGCUAACUCCGUG
Molecule: ribosomal RNA, 433 nt
Filed under: uncultured bacterium
Lineage: Bacteria
Description: partial 16S ribosomal RNA
Rfam family: Bacterial small subunit ribosomal RNA
Source: RNAcentral